This 418-nucleotide long non-coding RNA is filed under the name Mytilus galloprovincialis (Mediterranean mussel). The record is from RNAcentral. Lineage: Eukaryota; Metazoa; Mollusca; Bivalvia; Mytilida; Mytilidae.
UGUUGUUCUAUAGGACUGGUACUGUCUUUCACACGUAUAUUAAGAUUAUUCUUAUAGAAUUGUACAAUUCAAAAGAUGCACAUGUAUACUAUCCAAAGUUACAGUAUUUAAUCAAUUUUCUCUUUUCAUUCAUUUGCAUGUAGUUGUGAAUUGUUUCUAAUUUUUGUAAUUUUAUUUUGUAGAUUGUUCAGGCUGUUGAUCAUACUUCUAGUGAAGAUAAUUGAUAAGGACUGUCUUUUGGCGUAAUACCUGCCAUUCUAAAUUUUGUUUUUUCACAUGUUAUUAUGUUCCGAAUGAAAUUAUUAAAAGACUGGAUGCUGCAAACCUACAUCCCAUAGUAUAUUUGUGUUUUGUGUUAUUAAGCCUUGUAUAGAAAAGAAAUGCUUUAUGUUCGGUUGAACCCGUGAAAAAGAACAUA